RNAcentral lists this ribosomal RNA (497 nucleotides) under uncultured bacterium. Its description in RNAcentral is "partial 16S ribosomal RNA". It matches the Rfam family "Bacterial small subunit ribosomal RNA", at positions 28 to 507 of the family's 1533-position model. The record is from RNAcentral.
GAUGAACGCUGGCGGCGUGCCUAAUACAUGCAAGUCGAGCGAACGGACGAGAAGCUUGCUUCUCUGAUGUUAGCGGCGGACGGGUGAGUAACACGUGGAUAACCUACCUAUAAGACUGGGAUAACUUCGGGAAACCGGAGCUAAUACCGGAUAAUAUUUUGAACCGCAUGGUUCAAAAGUGAAAGACGGUCUUGCUGUCACUUAUAGAUGGAUCCGCGCUGCAUUAGUUAGUUGGUAAGGUAACGGCUUACCAAGGCAACGAUGCAUAGCCGACCUGAAGGGGUGAUCGGCCACACGGGAACUGAGACACGGCCCAGACACCUACGGGAGGCAGCAGUAGGGAAUCUUACGCAAUGGGCGAGAGCCUGACGGAGCAACGCCGCGUGAGUGAUGAAGGUCUUCGGAUCGUAAAGCUCUGUUAGUAGGGAAGAACAUAUGUGUAAGUAACUGUGCACAUCUUGACGGUACCUAAUCAAAAAGCCACGGCUAACUACGUG